UUGAACGCUGGCGGCAUGCCUUACACAUGCAAGUCGAACGGUAACAGGUCUUCGGAUGCUGACGAGUGGCGAACGGGUGAGUAAUACAUCGGAACGUGCCCGAUCGUGGGGGAUAACGCAGCGAAAGCUGUGCUAAUACCGCAUACGAUCUACGGAUGAAAGCAGGGGACCGCAAGGCCUUGCGCGGACGGAGCGGCCGAUGGCAGAUUAGGUAGUUGGUGAGGUAAAGGCUCACCAAGGCGACGAUCCGUAGCGGGUCUGAGAGGAUGAUCCGCCACACUGGGACUGAGACACGGCCCAGACUCCUACGGGAGGCAGCAGUGGGGAAUUUUGGACAAUGGGCGCAAGCCUGAUCCAGCCAUGCCGCGUGAGUGAAGAAGGCCUUCGGGUUGUAAAGCUCUUUCGGCGGGGAAGAAAUCGCACGGGUUAAUACCUCGUGUGGAUGACGGUACCCGAAUAAGAAGCACCGGCUAACUACGU
Molecule: ribosomal RNA, 480 nt
Filed under: uncultured bacterium
Lineage: Bacteria
Description: bacterial SSU rRNA
Rfam family: Bacterial small subunit ribosomal RNA
Source: RNAcentral